This 253-nucleotide ribosomal RNA is filed under the name uncultured bacterium. RNAcentral's name for it is "partial 16S ribosomal RNA". It matches the Rfam family "Bacterial small subunit ribosomal RNA", at positions 524 to 776 of the family's 1533-position model. The record is from RNAcentral.
UACGAAGGGGGCUAGCGUUGUUCGGAAUUACUGGGCGUAAAGCGUGCGCAGGCGGCUUUGCAAGACAGAUGUGAAAUCCCCGGGCUCAACCUGGGAACUGCAUUUGUGACUGCAAGGCUAGAGUACGGCAGAGGGGGAUGGAAUUCCGCGUGUAGCAGUGAAAUGCGUAGAUAUGCGGAGGAACACCAAUGGCGAAGGCAAUCCCCUGGGCCUGUAUUGACGCUCAUGCACGAAAGCGUGGGGAGCAAACAGG